This 2877-nucleotide small RNA is filed under the name Histoplasma capsulatum G186AR. Its description in RNAcentral is "hypothetical RNA". Lineage: Eukaryota; Fungi; Ascomycota; Eurotiomycetes; Onygenales; Ajellomycetaceae. The record is from RNAcentral.
AAGCGUAUCAACACAACUGAUAUCCUCCUCCAGCUCCAACUGAUACCGGAAUAAUAUAUCAGAAACCUUACCUUGCAUCACAAGCCCCUUCUCCGCACCGGUGGUAUGUAGAAGGACGUGCGCAAGCCUUGAGCUACCCAUAUACCCUCCGAACUUAAAAUCGAGACCCAACGUCGCCCCAACGCGCCUUAGGCGCGUCUGCGCCGCCUCGGUCAUCUUGGGCCCCAUCUUCCGGAGCAUCCGGUCUGGAUAUUAUAUUGUGUUGUGAAUAAUGAGGUAAUUUUUCGUGCGCCGGGUGGGGGUUAUUUGAGUGCAUUGUUUAUAAAUGAAAGAUAUUUUAAGGGAGGACGGGGCGGCGGGAGCUGGCGGAUAUCUUACCGUGGAUAAUUAUGCUCUCGCUGGGGGGUUCUUGGUCUAUGAAGUAAGGCUUCCAUGACAGUUGGAAGUCAUCCUUGGAGCCCCCUGGGUAUGUCUUUUGGUAAAGGGAAAUGGCCUUUUGGAGGUCGCGGUAGCCGAUGAAGCACUAUUUUCUUUGCAUAUGAGUAGAUAACCGAAAAGUUUGGUCCAGUGUUUUUUUGUGGAAGGGGGCCAGACAGCGUGCUCACCCAGGGACAUAUCGCGUCUGAAAUGAUAUCGAUUUUAAUCACUGCCAUUGCUUGGUCAUGCGAGGAGAAUACGAGCUAUUCCCCGUGCUUCUCAGGGCUUUCUGGUAGUCUCUAUGCUCUGUUCUUUGUGUCCUCUCUGCUACAAUACUUCCCAGCUCAUGGAGACAGAAGUCUGAAUUGGGCUUAACGGCUUUAUUGAACAAGAGACGAUUUGAUGGAUGUGGAAGGUUAGUACUCGUUACUUCUAUCCAGCUUGCGCGGCCCUCCUUAUCUAAAUAACUAGUUAGGGGUUGGUUAAGUGGAACUAGCGGACGAUAGGGUGCCAACACCAUUCUUGUAUUAUAUUUAUUUACUGAACAGCUCGGGACGCAGAGUUGACAACUAACUAGAAGACAUUCAUGGUUCAUCAUUGUCGCCCUUGAGUCCUAAGGCUUUUAUUAUGGUCCUUUUCAUUAAUUCUGCUCGGAUAUUCUUCCAGUCCUUCCUCUGCUGGGCGAUUCCGAGGUUCCGCCAUCUCUUCCAUCCAGGCACAAACAACACCUGCCACUACAUACCAGUCAUAAUCCCACUACUUCACGUUAUCUGCUCCGGCUGCCCUUUUUUUUAAUCUGCGACUGAGGUUCCCCAAACCCUCAGCUUCGCUGCCUCGCCAGCUAUCCAUUCACUACUACCCUUGGAAGCGAGAAGCUCUGUUGACGCGGCUAUUCUCCAACGUUUCUUCUGCUGUAUUUUAUGGAACAUAGAUAUCCCUUUUUUUUUUUAUGAAUUGAAUUGAUGGUAUGAUGAUAUAAAGGCUCAGAUAUAAUAUUCAUUCAUGCCAAAUGUCAAACAUCAUUAUUUCUUCACUUACAACACUCUCAGCAAUGGCCAGAGCCAUCCUCUGAUCUGUGAUAUCUAUCACAUCGGCAGAAGCAUCUCUGAGGUUCAGAAGCUUCUCAGUAAAUGCAAAUAUCAGAGCAGAAAUAUCCACUGACAAGCGAUAAAUGAUAUAUCUAUCACUUCUGAUAGAGCCCCAAUGAUCAAUACCGAUAUGAGGUUGUGAAGUGACUCUCUAUCUCAAACACUGAGCAUCCAAAAAAAAAAAAAAAAAAAAGUUAACUGGAAUCAUUGAUGCUCAGACAAUUCACGAAGAAUUGAUGAGAAUUCUCUUUUAAGAACUCGUGACGCUAUUCAGAUUGAGUUAAGUACUUGUGCAAUUUCUUCAUGGAAUGGCUAAGUUUUCGCGCAAGGUCGGGUCCAUUGGAACUAUCCAGCGGGCACAGCGAUGCUCUAAUAGGUGUGGUCACGUGGCAUUCUAGCGAGCAUUCGGCAUUGCCAGCAUACAGCGUACGCAGUAGUGUUAGUUUAUAGGCUUGAUUUAGUAGUUUAGCCUGCCAGGCACACUCUCAAAUGAAAUGGAAGAACCCUCGCUUAACAUUUCCGUGUCUCCGGGUCCUGGUAACAGUUUUUUUUUUGAGUAAAUAUGACUAGAUCUUCUUAACAUGGUGUCGACAGUUGGAAGGGAAGUGUAUGCUAAAACAUGCAAUUCAAAGAAGGAAUAAUUUUACAUCAAGGUUAUAUAAUUGCUGCAAUGUCGUCCAAGUUCAAUAAGAAAAUGACUAUUACUGCUUGAAGGAUGCAGGUAAUCCUCCUCAUUGCCCUUUAUCAUAUUCUCACAGCGAGGUUGGUCACCGUUGGCUUUGUCAACAAACUGAUGCAUUAUUGAGCACACAGUAUGAGACGGAUAUAAUCUGAUAUUAUUCACAGUUUAGUGACACAGGAGACUGGAUAUAUAUAUUCUGGGUGAUGAUGCAAUUUUGAGAUCAUAUAGUGAAUCUGGUGAGGUGCUUGAUUUUGCAAGAUUUAACAGCACUCAGCUGCAUUUUAUUACCACUGGUUUUCAGAGGAGCAUCGGGAUCAUUUAUUGGAUCUGGAAGAAUGUUGACAAUUCGUUGGUUGACGACCGGCAGAUCUGGUAUCCUCCUGAUCACUUGAAAUUUCAUCCUUCCCAAUUACCAAAUGACAAGGAAUCCCGGUCUACGGGGUCGUUCACCUGCACCGCCAUUUCAUGCGCUUUGUGAGCAAAUGUGGUGUGAUUCGCAUGCUUUCUAUCUGCUCCGGGCUUGUUCAUAUUGCUUUAUGAUCAAUCGAGUGGGUGAUCCCCAUUGCGUUCUCGUUAGCCAAAGAUAGUACGGCAGCCGUUCGUGACAAAUGUGACAACUGGGUUUUUUUUGUGUUUUUCCACUUAUAGACACUUAUCAAUAGAAAUUUAUAUCAAGAGUUUGUCUACCGC